Molecule: unclassified non-coding RNA, 224 nt
Filed under: Hevea brasiliensis (rubber tree)
Lineage: Eukaryota; Viridiplantae; Streptophyta; Magnoliopsida; Malpighiales; Euphorbiaceae
Source: RNAcentral
UAAUAUCAUUGGAUAGAGUUUCCCUGAAGCAAAAGGUAGUGGAUGCUCCUGAGAUCUUGACAGUGAUUGGGAAAAUCCUGUACCUUUCUGAGUUUUUAAAUUCUCUAUAUGAUUGUCAAUACAAAUCAUUUUUCUCAGCAUUUGCUGGCCUCACGGAGCAAAGAGCAAAUUAAACUUGAUCGUUAUUUGCAUCCUCACUUCCGAUAUUACAUGAGGGAGGUCAG